Molecule: long non-coding RNA, 3927 nt
Filed under: Gallus gallus (chicken)
Lineage: Eukaryota; Metazoa; Chordata; Aves; Galliformes; Phasianidae
Source: RNAcentral
GCCGAGCAGGCGGGAAGCAGCGGGCGGACUGCAACUACAGCUCCCGUGGUGCUGCGCGGCAGCGCGCUGGGCGGUUGCUGUGGUGACAGUCCUGCGGGCGCGGGCGGAGGUGUCAUGGCCGCACGGCGGUGCAGGAGGCCCUGCGCGCUUCCCCCCCUUUUGGCGGCGGCUCGCGGUGCCCCUCAAGGCGACUCGGCCUCGAAGGCUCAGCCCGGCGUGGGGGGCGGCAGCGAAUCCCAGUGUCUUGGCGGUUCCCUUAUACGAGAGGUGUAGGAAACCCGGUGCCUGCCGUAUUAAUUAAUGCGUGUGGUCAUUAAUCUUCAGUCCAAAGGGCUCCAAUCUUUCACUUUACAGGCAAGUGCUUUUCUUUCCCAGGAUGAGGGCCAAAUAUCACCACUAGCAGACAGCCGAAUUUCCAGGCAGGCUUACAGCUGGCAGCUGCAGGUGCCCACUGCUGUUAUUGGCAGCCCCAGGCACACACACGUGAGUGAGUAGAGGGAGCGAGCCAGCUGGGUGUCCUUUGUCAAUGAUGAGACCACUCAGAGCUAAAAGCACUAUUUAUAGCAGCUAUGCUUAGUGCUGUACUUAAUAAAGUGUGGAAUAGUCCCAGUUUUCUCCAUAAAACAAGCUGAGUACUGGGGAUGGUGGUGCCUUGUAUUUUUUUAAUAAUCUCCUCAUGGGUUAACUCCUUCAUGUAUUUCCCUUGGUGAUCACAAAAAUGACCUAAAAUGUUUUGUGCAGUUUUCCGAAGUCUUUGGAAUGUGUUCAUCCUUCUCUCAAAUGCUGUGGCUUGCUGCACCAGCCAGGUGCAAAUUUACAUAAUAAGAAACAAAUUUCUUUUUCAGCUUACAAUCACAUCCAAAUUUUCAUGCUAAUUUAGAAAAAAUUACAGAAUUGCAACGGUUGGGAGAGACCUCGAGAUCGUCAAGUCCAACCCCCUUACUAAAGCGGUUACCCUACAACAGGUCACACAGCCUCAUAAGGACAGAAACAAGAAUAUCUUUCAAGAGGCUGUGUGUUACAUUACUGUAUGGGAACUGCUGAGUCAUGGCCUGAACCACUGAUUGAUCACCUGUGAAAAGGACUGGAUCAGCCCUGGGAGCACAGGGUUUCCAAGAAGGCAAUGUAAAGGAUAUCCAACGUCAACAAGUGCUUUUGUUGCCAAUGCCUACUGCAGAGGAGGGUGAGGAGGCUGCCAAGAAGAGUUUCAGAAUGGAUGAAAGCCCUACACCAAACAAAGGUCUAAAGGCUGUGGUCGAGAGCAGGCAUGGACUGACCAACUAUCCACCAUUUUUGCCUCCAAAUAUUUUCCAAGUUUUAACCCUUCAUGAGAGGCUGUUCUUGUCUUGCUCAGGUGAUGUGUCUCACCUGGAAGCUGUCCUGAAAGGAUGAGAAAUCUUGUCAUUCUUUCUUCCUACGCUGAACUAACAAUCAAGACACGUGAGCUUUGCAUGUUACAUGCUUUACUUUAGGGUCUCUUGGUUCUCUGGUACUGGUAUCACUAGUACUGACUUCUGACUUACCUGGAUCAUGAAAAGCUUCCUUUUGAUUUACUGAGCACAAAAAUCUAAAAAUAAAAUCCUGUUUCCUCAACUAGUGAUAGCCAGCGUUGGACUUCGCAAUUCAGAAAACUUCAUGGAAUGGUUAUAGGUGCAAAUAUUUUCUGAAGACAAUUUCAUCUGCUAUAUGUAAAGCUUUGAUUUAACCAAAAAUAUCAAAUAUUUCAAAUGAAAUAACAGGCUCCUGUUUUUCUAAAUCCUUGCAACAAAACUAAAUGUACCACUACAACAGUUCUUACAUUUCAGAUUUCACACACAUGGUCUCAAAGUCCACUUCUGAGCAUCAUUUAUUUCCCUGCUAUUUCAGUGUACUGAUGAUCUCCGAGACACUGUCUCACAAUUUGUGGUGUUGAAUUUUAUUUUUGUAUUAAUAAGCCAAGAAAGUUUUGAAUGUCAUUUGUCUAAUUUUCCAUGUAUGUUUUCUGCCUCGUUUGUAUCUAGUGCAAGCUUCCAAUUUAUUUGGGGUGAGGAAAAAAAAUAAAAACAUGGAAAAAGUUUGUUUUAAAUCAGUCUUAAAAUACCUCUUCUUCCUUCUCACUGUAUUCUGUUUAAGAGCCAUUUAAAAAACGUGGACUAAUGUGAGUAAUCAUCAUAAAUCUUUCUCUUUUCUUCCGUUUUUGGGGCAGUAUAGAAUGUAGCUCUUGUAUGAGUAGCUAAUUUACUUUCAGCACCAUCAGAGUGAGUUCAUAAACACUUCUUGAUUGUUCAGGUGUAACGUUCAGAUAAGAGCAGGUCUGUUGCAGUUCAGCAUCUUUCUGGCUAGAGUGACUUUUCAUGGAAAAUGGUGGUACUCUGAGAAGAAGGGAAUUUUUUUUUCUCUACUAGAUGUGAGAGUAAAAUAAUAAUGGUAUCAAUAAGAAGGUAGUAAGAAAAUUGGUAUUAGCUCUAGGUAUUUUCCAGCUAUAACAUCAUGAACCACCAUAGAAUUUUAUGUAAUGGUUAAAGAUUAUGUUAAAUUAUUUUAAUAAACAAAUUAAAUGAUACAUAAAACAUAGAACAACAGGUAUAAUUAAACUGUAUCAAAGACUUGAUGUUCACAGUCAGCUGGCUCAUGAACAUGCUGAGCUCAAAAAGCAAGGGAGAAUUCAUGAAAUUAAUACUUAUGCACAAAAUCCCUUGUAUCAUCCUUUUACAGAAUUAAUUGAUAACUUCUCACAAAGCAGACCAUUUAGAGUCUCCUGAUGUUCUGUUCUGUGACUAUCCUGUGGCUGUGACAGCUGAGAAGCACAGGUUCUCCCUGUUUUCUGGGUGCACGCUGCAUAUGCUGCAUUAUGACACACUGCAGAUGUGGUCACGUGGGCUUUGUGAAGCUGCUCUCCUGCCUUGGCUACACGGAGUGACUCAGAUAUUGUGAUGGUGCAUGCAACUGGUCUAGAUUUGCUUCAGUAGCAUUAGCACAUGUUAAUAAGACAUCUCAGCCCUGCUAGACAGUUACGAAAAGGCAGAGUAACAAAGGGUACAGGCUGAAUGAGGAGCAAAACCUUUAGCAGUUUUUGCUUUUUACAUCUAAUUGAUACAUAUUGCAAUACAUUUAUCAUUAUUCUCAUUAUUUGCCCCCUGCACUGCAGUACUUAAAAUACUGAGCUAUGGUUUUGUUUGGUGUCUCACCUUAUUUAUACUUUAAUCUUGUUUAAAAUCCUUGGGGAAAAAAAGAAUAAUCCAACAAAAUUAGAAUAUUCCUUGAAUUGCUGUCACAAUGCUAGAGAAAAAUACCUAAUAAUGGGAUAAACUACGUUCAGCAGUAGCAUAAAAAAUAGAUUAUUGCCUCAAGCACUGAAUACCAACUCCUUAGCUAGAGUGCACAGAGCAGUACUGCUGUAGUACUGCAAAGUAGUACAGGCUAAGCUCUGUCAAGUAACUGCAGCUGAGAAGCCAGCCUGGCUGAUUGCUCUGCCUGUUCUGUACGUGGACCAGAUGCACGCUGUUCAGCUCAUGAAUUAGAAGAGGCUGAACUCAGCCUUGAUUAUGUUCAUACCACUGUACAGAAAGAAUCAGAUAAACCAGUUAAAAAUUAUAAUAACACAAGAGAAACAACAGCAAAACCCGAGGGGCAAAAGACUUUUUCCUUAGGGAUUCAGUGAGAGAUACAACUCAAGCAAUUAAACAUUAAAAUAAAUAAUUCUACAGAAUACAUUAUUCUAUUAUUUAGAUGUGGUAAAAGAAAGUAAGUACAAAAGUUGAUGAAAGCACUAUCUCUUCUGCAAGUUUCUUGCUUAGCACGUUAAGUCAACUUGUGACCAAUAUUUUACUUUUGAACAUACAGAGGCAAGGCUUUUAUGUCCUAAGCAUAUAAGCAUACUCUUACAGCUUGGCAAGGCAGAAAAGGAUUUUGAAAGUACCUUAAUGUUGUGACAUGCAUGUCACAUAU